CAGGCGUAGUGGCAUGUGUUGGAUUGCUGGUAGGGAUAUUAGUUGGGGAUAGUAUGACGGAUGUGGACUAGAGGGUAGUUACAUUUACAUGUUGUAUUGGGGCAGGCGUAGUGGCAUGUGUUGGAUUGCGGGUAGGGAUAUUAGCUGGGGAUAGUGACGGAUGUGGACUAGAGGGUAGUUACAUGUUGUAUUGGGGCAGGCGUAGUGGCAUGUGUUGGAUUGCGGGUAGGGAUAUGAGCUGGUAGGGAUAUUAGCUGGGGAUAGUGACGGAUGUGGACUAGAAGGUAGUUACAUGUUGUAUUGGGGCAGGCGUAGUGGCAUGUGUUGGAUUGCGGGUAGGGAUAUGAGCUGGUAGGGAUAUUAGCUGGGGAUAGUGACGGAUGUGGACUAGAAGGUAGUUACAUGUUGUAUUGGGGCAGGCGUAGUGGCAUGUGUUGGAUUGCUGGUAGGGAUAUUAGCUGGGGAUGGUGACGGAUGUGGACUAGAGGGUAGUUACAUGUUGUAUUGGGGCAGGCGUAGUGGCAUGUGUUGGAUUGCGGGUAGGGAUAUUAGCUGGGGAUAGUGACGGAUGUGGACUAGAGGGUAGUUACAUGUUGUAUUGGGGCAGGCGUAGCGGCAUGUGUUGGAUUGCUGGUAGGGAUAUUAGCUGGAUGCUGAAAUAGGAGAUAGUGACAAAAGCGGAAAUACGGGGUAGUGGCAGUUGCUGAAAUAGGAGGUAGUCAUAGAUGCUGAAAUAUUGGGUAGUGUCAGUUGCUGAAAUGGGGGUAGUGUCAGUUGCUGGAAUAGGAGGUAGUGGCAGUUGCUGAAAUAGGAGGUAGUGUCAGUUGCUGAAAUGGGGGUAGUGACAGUUUCUGAAAUGGGGGGUUGUGUCAGUUGCUGAAAUAGGGGUUAGUGGCAGUGGCUGAAAUAAGAGGUAGUCAUAGAUGCCGAAAUAUGUGGUAGUGUCAGUUGCUGAAAUGGGGGUAGUGUCAGUUGCUGAAAUAGAGGUAGUGACAGAUGCUGAUAUAGGGGUAGUGACAGAUGCUGAUAUAGGGGUAGUGACAGUUUCUGAAAUGGGGGGUUGUGUAAGUUGCUGAAAUAGGGGUUAGUGGCAGUGGUUGAAAUAAAGGGAAGUGACAGAUCCACCACUGACACAGUGUUCACAUCAAGCUUGUAGAUAUACGCGGUAUAACAACGUUGACUGAUGCUCUUGUCUUCAAAGGGUUUGUCACUCGUGGCCAUAUCACACUCUUACAGAAAACAUUGUUGACAGCCCAACAAGGUGUCAUGGAUUAUAUAUUGUUACUUUAUAUGUUACCGACCUUAAACAACUGUCAAGUUCAGUUGUGUGAAAGAUUUUAUUUACAGCUUUACACAUGUCAUAUAUAUGUAUAUACAAUCAAUAAAUUGCAUAAUCCACAGUC
RNAcentral lists this long non-coding RNA (1403 nucleotides) under Haliotis rubra (blacklip abalone). RNAcentral describes it as "uncharacterized LOC124253698, transcript variant X1". The record is from RNAcentral. Lineage: Eukaryota; Metazoa; Mollusca; Gastropoda; Lepetellida; Haliotidae.